CAGUCGCCACGGUAAUACGUAGGGUGCAAGCGUUAACCGGAAUUACUGGGCGUAAAGCGUGCGCAGGCGGUUGUGCAAGACAGAUGUGAGAUCCCCGAGCUUAACUUGGGAACUGCAUUUGUGACUGCACGGCUAGAGUGUGUCAGAGGGGGGUAGAAUUCCACGUGUAGCAGUGAAAUGCGUAGAGAUGUGGAGGAACACCAGUGGCGAAGGCGACUCUCUGGUCUGUAACUGACGCUGAGGAGCGAAAGCGUGGGGAGCAAACAGGAUUAGAUACCCCCGUAGUCCCUGUCUCUUAUAC
This 301-nucleotide ribosomal RNA is filed under the name uncultured bacterium. Its description in RNAcentral is "partial 16S ribosomal RNA". It matches the Rfam family "Bacterial small subunit ribosomal RNA", at positions 509 to 807 of the family's 1533-position model. The record is from RNAcentral.